This 253-nucleotide ribosomal RNA is filed under the name uncultured bacterium. RNAcentral's name for it is "partial 16S ribosomal RNA". It matches the Rfam family "Bacterial small subunit ribosomal RNA", at positions 524 to 776 of the family's 1533-position model. The record is from RNAcentral.
UACAGAGGUCCCAAGCGUUGUUCGGAUUCAUUGGGCGUAAAGGGUGCGUAGGUGGCGCUGUAAGUCGGGUGUGAAAUUUCGGAGCCUAACUCCGAAACUGCAUUCGAUACUGCGGUGCUCGAGGACUGGAGAGGAGACUGGAAUUCAUGGUGUAGCAGUGAAAUGCGUAGAGAUCAUGAGGAAGACCAGUGGCGAAGGCGGGUCUCUGGACAGUUCCUGACACUGAGGCACGAAGGCCAGGGGAGCAAACGGG